RNAcentral lists this long non-coding RNA (486 nucleotides) under Parus major (Great Tit). RNAcentral describes it as "lncRNA (ENSPMJG00000009648.1)". The record is from RNAcentral. Lineage: Eukaryota; Metazoa; Chordata; Aves; Passeriformes; Paridae.
CUGGCCUGCUGGGACCUGUGGAUUCUUUGUAGACUUCACACUCUUUGAAGGAUGACUGAAGGCAGUGUUUGAAGUUGCUGUCUGAGUCAUGACAAAUGUUUUAGUCUCCCAAGGAGACCCUGAUAUGGGCAAAGUCCUGUUGGGAAAGCCUGGAUGGUGCUGCCAUGGCCAGGCAUGGAUCUGGGCGUUUUUAAGAUAAAUGGUAAAACUGAACUGGAAAUCCAUCUGGCCAGCUGCCUGAUCUAAUGAAUAACCCCACUUUGGCUCCUGCAAUGUAAGCAGAAAGAGUUCUCUCCCGGCCGCUUUCGUCUGUCAUGAAUCUACAAGACAGCCGACAUAAUAUCUGGGCGACAACAGCGUGCUAACAGUGCAGUGACUUCCAUUUUCUUUGCUUUCUAUUGAUUUUCACUUAAUAACUGGCGAAAUACUAAACGUCCGCCCUGAGUACCUAAUAAAUCCUGCCUGAGCUUUUUAUUGAGGAGAAUU